UACGGGGGGAGCAAGCGUUGUUCGGAUUUACUGGGCGUAAAGGGCGCGUAGGCGGUCGUGACAAGUCACUUGUGAAAUCUCCGGGCUUAACUCGGAACGGUCAAGUGAUACUGUCGGACUAGAGUACAGAAGGGGCAACUGGAAUUCUCGGUGUAGCGGUGAAAUGCGCAGAUAUCAGGAGGAACACCGGUGGCGAAGGCGGGUCUCUGGGCAGUAACUGACGCUGAGGAGCGAAAGCGUGGGUAGCAAACAGG
RNAcentral lists this ribosomal RNA (254 nucleotides) under uncultured bacterium. Its description in RNAcentral is "partial 16S ribosomal RNA". It matches the Rfam family "Bacterial small subunit ribosomal RNA", at positions 524 to 776 of the family's 1533-position model. The record is from RNAcentral.